Long non-coding RNA from Carassius auratus (goldfish), 776 nucleotides. RefSeq lists it as uncharacterized. The transcript has 3 exons. The record is from RefSeq and is a predicted model, not a curated record. NCBI's taxonomy places the organism in Eukaryota, Metazoa, Chordata, Actinopteri, Cypriniformes, Cyprinidae.
AAUAAUGACCAAUGACGGAUAUGUGUUAAAUAGGAGGAGGACUGGAUUGCAAGGACGAAUUUAAUUAAUAUAUAGUAAGUUAAAGUGAUAGCCUACAGCAGAUGGCCGUAAUGCAACACUAUGGAUGCCAACUGAAGUUAAAAAUAAAUAAAUGAAGAUUUCGCCUCGCGUCGCGGCGAUGACGUCAUCACCCGCGCGCUCACAACAACAGCCAGCGGCGAGUCUCGUGAGGCGAACAGUUCGCGAUUCUUCACGUGUUUACAUUAUUGUAAAGGACACUUAACCGUUAUUUAAGCAACAUUCAAAGAGCUCACAAAAAAAUUACAUCAAAGCAUCAUGAAGAAGAUAAAUCUGCAGAGACAGAGUUUACUGAAGAACAGAGAGAACAUGAGAGAUCUAGAACUGAAGAACAAACAGAUCUGAUCGAGAAGAAACAUGUCAAAACUGGAGAAAAAUCUCUCACAGAGACUGAAAGAGUUUCUUUACUGAAGAGAAGAAACAAGAAAGUUUUACCUGCUCUCAGUGAGGAAAGAGUUUGACAUACAAACACAACCUCAGUGUUCACAUGAGAUCCACACUGGAGAGAAACCUUACAAGUGUUCACACUGCGACAAGAGAUUUAGUCAGUCAGGAGACCUGAAAUCACACGAGAGGACUCUGGAGAGAAACCGUAUCACUGCUCUGCAUGUGGGAAGAGUUUCACUCAGUUGUUUUCUCUACGAAGUCAUCAAAUAAACAAUCACAAUAACUAGUUUAUCUUUACAGGUGUAUUCCAG